This 1035-nucleotide ribosomal RNA is filed under the name Staphylococcus aureus. RNAcentral's name for it is "partial 23S ribosomal RNA". It matches the Rfam family "Bacterial large subunit ribosomal RNA", at positions 409 to 1452 of the family's 2925-position model. Lineage: Bacteria; Bacillati; Bacillota; Bacilli; Caryophanales; Staphylococcaceae. The record is from RNAcentral.
UGAGUACGACGGAGCACGUGAAAUUCCGUCGGAAUCUGGGAGGACCAUCUCCUAAGGCUAAAUACUCUCUAGUGACCGAUAGUGAACCAGUACCGUGAGGGAAAGGUGAAAAGCACCCCGGAAGGGGAGUGAAAUAGAACCUGAAACCGUGUGCUUACAAGUAGUCAGAGCCCGUUAAUGGGUGAUGGCGUGCCUUUUGUAGAAUGAACCGGCGAGUUACGAUUUGAUGCAAGGUUAAGCAGUAAAUGUGGAGCCGUAGCGAAAGCGAGUCUGAAUAGGGCGUUUAGUAUUUGGUCGUAGACCCGAAACCAGGUGAUCUACCCUUGGUCAGGUUGAAGUUCAGGUAACACUGAAUGGAGGACCGAACCGACUUACGUUGAAAAGUGAGCGGAUGAACUGAGGGUAGCGGAGAAAUUCCAAUCGAACCUGGAGAUAGCUGGUUCUCUCCGAAAUAGCUUUAGGGCUAGCCUCAAGUGAUGAUUAUUGGAGGUAGAGCACUGUUUGGACGAGGGGCCCCUCUCGGGUUACCGAAUUCAGACAAACUCCGAAUGCCAAUUAAUUUAACUUGGGAGUCAGAACAUGGGUGAUAAGGUCCGUGUUCGAAAGGGAAACAGCCCAGACCACCAGCUAAGGUCCCAAAAUAUAUGUUAAGUGGAAAAGGAUGUGGCGUUGCCCAGACAACUAGGAUGUUGGCUUAGAAGCAGCCAUCAUUUAAAGAGUGCGUAAUAGCUCACUAGUCGAGUGACACUGCGCCGAAAAUGUACCGGGGCUAAACAUAUUACCGAAGCUGUGGAUUGUCCUUUGGACAAUGGUAGGAGAGCGUUCUAAGGGCGUUGAAGCAUGAUCGUAAGGACAUGUGGAGCGCUUAGAAGUGAGAAUGCCGGUGUGAGUAGCGAAAGACGGGUGAGAAUCCCGUCCACCGAUUGACUAAGGUUUCCAGAGGAAGGCUCGUCCGCUCUGGGUUAGUCGGGUCCUAAGCUGAGGCCGACAGGCGUAGGCGAUGGAUAACAGGUUGAUAUUCCUGUACCACCUAUA